RNAcentral lists this ribosomal RNA (253 nucleotides) under uncultured bacterium. RNAcentral's name for it is "partial 16S ribosomal RNA". It matches the Rfam family "Bacterial small subunit ribosomal RNA", at positions 524 to 776 of the family's 1533-position model. The record is from RNAcentral.
UACGAAGGAUGCGAGCGUUAUCCGGAUUUAUUGGGUUUAAAGGGUGCGUAGGCGGUCUUAUAAGUCAGUGGUGAAAUCUUGUCGCUUAACGACAAACGUGCCAUUGAUACUGUAGGACUUGAGUACAGAUGCCGUUGGCGGAAUGUGUCAUGUAGCGGUGAAAUGCAUAGAUAUGACACAGAACACCGAUUGCGAAGGCAGCUGACGAAACUGUAACUGACGCUGAUGCACGAAAGCGUGGGGAUCAAACAGG